UAAAGCCCACAGACACGCUGUUCUGGCGUUAACUUACUACCUUGUGAAAGCACAGAGGGCUUAAUGAUUAAAGGACAGAAGGACUGGAGUUUGCUGGUGGCCAGCCUGUGAGGAGUCAUCUACCUGGCCUCCAGUACAGGAGACAGAUGUGGGUAAGAAUUAACAUUAAACUCUUGUCUGUAUGACAUAUUAAGUUGGGUUUGCUUUAUAUGUGUGUGUAUGAGUUAGGUAUAUUAAGUUUGUUCUGUGUGUGUGUGUGUGUGUGUGUGAGAGAGAGAGAGAGAGAGAGAGAGAGAGAGAGGGAGAGAGAGUACAUACUUGUUAGUGUGAGUGUGUUUAAUUUGUUUAACAAAUCAUGGCCUCUAAUACCUAAUCAGCUAAUUAAUUAAAUUAAUCUAAAUUUAUGUGGAUGCAUAUUUAAAAAUAGAAACAGUAAGGAAACAGAAACUCUGCUAUCUAGGCAUGUGUUACACAGACCAGACAAGAAAACAUUAAGAACAAGCAUUUUAUUUAAAAAAAAAAAUGUAAUCUGUCAUUCUAAAAAAAAAAAAACCCAAAAGACCAUGGUCACAGUCACAGCCCAGUGCAGAUGCUGGUGGAAGUCUGGUCAAAGCAGCCAUGUCGUCUCACUGCCUGAUCCCUGGCUGCUGGAGGGAUUUGGGGUCAACCUUAUAAAGUCACUUCCCCUUGGACUAUGUUCAAAACUCCAGUCCUCACAUGGUCAUGUGGAAGUUUGAUUAAGCAGAAGUGGGGGUGGUGUGUGUGUGGGGGGGUCUUAAAUAAUUUUUACAGAGCAAUUAGCUGCCAGAUAUGUCCCCAAUCAUAGUUUCUUGGAAUUUACCUUUCGCCUCAAUCCAGAGAAUAGCACUAUGGGACCAUCAGAGGAACUGGGCCCCUGGCAAAAGCACCGUUCCCUGCAUGUCUGUGUCAUCAUGACCUCAGCUUCUCCCUCACACCACCUUUGUUUGAUAUGUAGGCAACACUGCCGUCGUUGUUAGUCACUGUAGCUUAGAGCUGCAAAUUCGAGGAAAUCUGAACAUAGAGAGCAUGCCGGCUGGCUAGUGAAAAGCUCCCUUGACUGUUACCAGCAUAAACAUGAGUAUGCACAAUGCUGCCAUGCACGUUUGUUUAAUUUAAGAGGGCAUAAAGUGCUGACUGUGUGUUAAGCCUCUUUCAAAGAAUCUCAUAAAUAUUAAUUUACUGAACCCUACUAACAAUCUAAAAGUGAGAAUCCUCCCCCAAAAAAUGUAACAAAUAAAUGAAGACCCAACUAAUUUUUAAGCACAAAAGCAUCUUGGGGAAUUUUUAUUGAGAAAGAAGGACCUUAAAGGCCCAGCAAGAUAAAAGGGUUUACCUGGGCUCCUUAGACUAAGAAGAACAGAACUGAAACCAGGACAGAGACCAAAGUGUAUAUCUCACCACCUUCCCUUCCAGCGGUCCUUUGUCUUAACAUGGCUCCAUGGCUAAAGACACACAUCUAGAUCUCUUAGUGCUUCUUCUGAGUAUUGGGGGAGGCUUGACCCACAGCCUAGAAAAAAUGCUUUGGAGAACAGGAGAAUCAAGAAAAAGUUUCUCAGACCAGGGAUGUAGCUUAGUUGGCAGAAUGCUUGUCUAGCAUACACAAGGUCCUAGAUUCCGUCUCCAGCACCACAUGAGCUAGGCAGAGUGGUACACACCUAUAGUCUCACCACUUGAAUGGUGGAGGCAGCAAGAUCAGGAGUUCAAAGUCCUCCUCAGUCAUAUAUCAAGUUCAGGGUCAGCCCAACUUCAUGAGAAACUCUGUCUUGAAAAAAGUUGUUUUUUUUUGUUUGUUUGUUUGUUUGUUUUUUUCAGAAAGAAGAAAGAAAAAGAAUGAACAAUACUGAAGUCCUGUGGCAGGUGAUCCCAGGAGUCUUCACUUAAUAAAUCCUAAAUGUCUUGGCCCAAUUAGCAAGGAAACUAAAACUAAAGAGGGUUGCAUCAAAUUCAUGACAUAAAACUUUUAAAAAGAUGAGCAUGGGUAGUAUUCAUUGCCAUAAACAAGCUACAAAAUUCAAUUUGUUUGAAGUCAAGAAACAAACAAAAACAGAGAAAGCAACUCUGAGAGCCAAGAUUAGGUGAAUUGCCAUGACCACAGACACCUCAAACAGCACUGGGUGAAGAAGACUACAUCACAGUAGGAGACAGGCAGGGCUCACCUGACUCAGCCGGGAGACUCCUGCCUACUUUUUGCUUUAUUUUAUCACAUCAGCCAGAAAGUAGUGACUGAUGGCAGAACAGUUGGGGCUGCAUCAUCACGGAUGCACUUGACUUGAGUUCCAAACAUAGAAGCAGAGGUAUUUUCUGAAUGGGGAUGAGCCAGUAUGUCAGCCUGCAACUACUUGGAAGCCUUGGCAGGACAUUUUGAAGCUCACACUGGCCAAGCCAAAUGGGAUUGUCAAUGCGUGUGGACACUUAGCUUUCAAGGCCCUAGCUUUCUCUACAUGGCAAGAGUCAAAGUUCUGUCCUGAAAGGACCACGUGGAAUGCGAUUCCCUUUUCCUUUUGAAUGAUGUAUUUGUUUCUUAGCUCUAGGCACACUGAAUGUUUCCUCAAACUCUUCAGAUCCUAACCAAUCCCACUGGCUAUUUACUGAAGAUACUAAUUGCUAGCUCUAUCUACAGGAUGUAAGGUGGCUUUUAGAUUCAUCAGGAUAGUAUAAAAGAAAAAAAUAUAUACCAUAUAAAAUAAGAUGUACAUAUCAGAGCUGAACAUUUCCAGGAAAGAAACGGGGUGCCUCACUCUCAGGGUGAGGGUGGGAUGCAUUUUGCUAUUCCCUUUGGGGAAAUUUGCUAAGGCACUUUAACAGAGGCUAAGGAGUUUUAACUGCCUGAGCCCUUUGACAGGAGUAUUAGCAUAGCAGCUUCACUUGAUUUAAGAAGGGAAUUAUUCCACCAUCCACACUAAUCUCUUCUGGCAAGAAGCAGAAUACCAGCAAUGGCUUCUCACAGAAGAUGACAGGGCCCCAGACUUCCUUCCCUUCCUGGACGGGAACUUGCAACUCUUCAAAAUGUUAAUAUAACCUCACGGAUGAUAACAAAGUCACAGAAAAGUCUUACAUCACAGAAGCUGUCUGUUUUCCUCUCACACAAUUUUAAUAGUCUUUAGACUCUCCCUACACACAUGCACAAGUGUUCACGUGUUGGGGUGGGGGUAGGCACACCAGUACACACAGGCCAUUGGAGGAUGUCAGGUGUCACGUCUCAUCUCUCCAGCUUAUUCUCACAAGACAGGAUCUCUCACUGAGUAUAAGCCCCAGAGGCCCUUCUGUUUCUGCCCCACACAGGGCUGGGGGUUUCAGGUGAGCAGGCACACAUUUAAUUUUUUUAAACUUUUGAUUGAUUGGUUGGUUGUAUGUUUUUGUGUGCCCCAGCACGCAUGUGAAGUUCCGAGGACGACUCGUGGGAGGAAGUUCUCUUCUACCAUGUUGGUUCUGAGGAUGGAACUCAGGUUCCAUGGGAAAGGCCUUUACCAACAUGAGUGAUCUCAGUGGCCCCGUGUCCAGCUUUCUUAUGGAGAGGCUAAGGAUGUGACCUCAGAUCUCUGUGCUUUUGCAGUACAUGCAGUACACGCAGUACACGCAGUACACGCAGUACACGCAGUACAUGCAGUACACACAGUACACGCAGUACACGCAGUACAUGCAGUACACACAGUACACGCAGUACAUGCAGUACACUAACACCGAGACAAAAGAGAUAGCAUUGCUUGCUUUCCACACUUGCACCGGGCCUGGCGCCUCUGCCAAAUGCCUGUGUGGGAAAGUGACUGUGCCCCACAGGUAAAAGUGCACCUAUUCAAGGCCACGAGAAUUUGCAAACCAGAACCCUUCCCACUACAUUUUUAAAGACCUUUCCUUUUAAAGGACAGAAGAGAAAGAGAGGAAGAGAACUGAACAAAUUUGCCUUUUAUACAUGGUGCUACCACAGAAACCACUUCGGGAGUGCUUCAAAACUAACAACUCAGCAAAGAUAUGUGUCAAUGGAGCAGCCACUGAGUCGGGUCCCCAAGUCCUUUUCAGAAAGCUGCUUUCAUUUCAGUGAACAUGCACCCCAAUGCUGCUGUGGUCGCUCUUAGAAAACUUUCUGCCCCUCCCCUGCGCCACUGGGAAUUUGGUAACCAUAGAUUCUGUGUCCUGCUGAGGCUUGAUAUGUAGAGCUGUAUUCUACCUGCUAUUAAGCUGCUGAUAGCAGUGUUUCUGUUGCAAUUUAUGAGCAAUGUCAGCUGAAGGCAGAGAGUAUUGUACACACUAUAUUUUCCCAGCUGGAGGUCUCCGUGAAUGGAAAGCAAAAACAUGAAUACACAUGGGCUGAGGGCUUGAGGGAAUAAAAAGACAGGGGAAAAACUCUGUAGGCUAAAAUCAGGUGGGUGGGCUUGAUUACAAACCAAGUAGAUAAUAAAAUAUUCAAAAGAAGUGCCAGGUAAAUGGUCAGGAAAUAGAUCCAUAAUAUGAGGAAAGGCCAACCUAAUUCCUAGAUGUGCCAAGACUCACCUUCCUACUUGGGGUUUUAAAUAGCUUACCCGUAGCCAAAGGUCACUGGAAACCACAAAAACAAAACCCACUGUUUCCAAGAGUUACCUCAGCAGGCAGCCAGGGUGGCACAGCCAAUCCCAACACCUCCGCCUACACUCUUCCUCAAAAGGCAAAUUGUUCUUAACUAUUUUACAUGGAGAGAGAAAUGGAGUUGUUUUUGUGGUUAGGAAAUGGAUGCUUCGUAUUGUCCAACUGUCAAUGGGCCUUUUAAAAAGAAAUGAAAUACACAGAGAAACCACUAGUUCUCAGAAACCCAAUUCUACAGAGAAAGGUUCACAUUUAUGAGUCAAGAAACAGACAGGCAAAGAUCACGUAGAAAACCAUUCUUUCCCCCUAAGAACUCUACCGAGGAACACAACAGAAAACAUUCCCAGGGUUCUACUUAAAGAACUUUUAUUUAAGUCAUUUAACUUUUAGCUGAACAAAGUGCAGAGCUGCUUUGUCUGGGUGGUUGAUUUCCAAUUCGGCUGUGUUUUAUGCUUGCAGGAAUUUCUAUUUCUAACCAUCAUGCUAUACUGGUCCCUAAAUAGUGUUGGUCAGUUGAUCUGAGUUCUAGGCCAGCUUCUAAAAGACAUGUGUGUCCAUAAUGUAUGGGCAGGGUUAAAAUCCCCCUGCCUCAGUUCUUCCCUUGGAAACCAUGGCUCUCUAAAGAACUGCUCAAGUGAAUCUAACUAUGUCCUCUAUUACUGCAGUAGGCUGUAUUGACUCUUAAAACUGUGUUCCAACACUUAAAUUAAAAAACUCACACAAAAUAAAUAAUUCAAAAGGAUUAUUCACUUUUCCCCCAGAACAUAAACAUUUUAACACCUAACACUGAAACAGAGCUUCAAUCUUAGCAUUCAUCUGUAUUGUUAACCUGAGCUUAGGUGGUUUUGGUUCAGAAAAAAAAAAUCAUCUCAUGAUACCAACAAAAUAAAAUAAAAAUAACUGAGCCUAUGAAAUUUAUCAAGCUUAGAGCUAAGCCAGGGGGGAAUGUAAUUACCAUUUAAAUAUAGCAACAUGAAAUUCUUUGAAGGUAUAUACCUUUUGAUGUUAGGUCUCAAAUGCCAAGAAGAAAAAAAAAUCUCAGAUCCUAACAUUGUUCAGAGGAAGUCUGGGAAAAACAAAUGUAUCUCCUAAAACCUCUCUCUCCAAAGAAGUAUGGACCCAUUUGUAGUCAGCAAUGGUCUUAUUAGCAAGAUUUUACUAAAUAAUUGCCAACUCUUGAGAAAUACCAGGGAGAAAGGCCAACACGAGGGAUAGACGACUCUUCUGACUCUCAACUUGGAAGAAAUACACAGUCUGAGAGACUGAGCACAUGCGACUAUGCUGUUGGAGACUGUUGCCUAUUAUGGGAAACCUGAUUAUAAUAGUGUGACUUCCAGCAUCCCUUGACAUCAGAAGGUUGUUCAUCCUUUCAGCACAGCAUAAAGCUAGAAAUGCUUGCUGGUAAACUUAGUUUCUUAACAUACACCAAUGGGAACUGUCUUUGGAGGGCUCUUAUAAGUAAUCAGAAAUGCUGGACAGUCCCAUACUUGUAGAUGGAGGUAAGAAAGAUUUCUCACUUUUUCACAAUAACGUAACAAGUGACUGGAUUAAAAACAACGAAUUUUACAUUGUACAGGCAUGUUUAUAGUUAGCCUUCAACCAUAAAACAUUGCCCCACUUUUAAUUCCUAGUUGCUUACACAAUGUUAGGAAAAUAAAAUAAUUCAAUAAAUCCUAUUAAGUAAUUUGUGUGUCUCGUUCUCCUUCUCUGUGUAUGUGCAUGCAUGUUUACAUGCAUGCAGGUAGGUGCACGAGCAUCGUAUACGAUCAUGGAGGCUCAAUGUUAACAUCUAGUGUCUUUCUCAAUCUCCCCUGUCCCCAUUCUGUGUUUAUUGUGGCAGGGUUUUAUUGAAAUUAAAUCUUACCAAUUCUGAAUAGCUAUCCAGUUUGGAAGUAGGAUUUCCUCUCUCUGAUUGCCAGGUGCUAGGAUGGCAGGCGCCCUCCAUCCCUGCCAGAGAUGUGAACUGCCACCCUCACACUUUCUUGGCAAGUUUGCCAAGUGCUCUAUCCACUGACACAUCUCACAGGAACAUGUAUGUGCUUGUACACACACACAGACACACACACACAUACACACAGAGUAUCUCUCAGUAUCUCUACAAAACAAAAGUCAUGAAAUUGAAAUACAGCGAAACACAAAACAGACAACCUCUAAUUAAAAAAAGACAACAGGAAGAGGGAGGAGGCAGAACCCUCAAAAGUACUGAGUCUUUUCAUCAGUUCUGGCUUUAAUUAACUAUGAUCGCUUGUACAACUUAGAAUACAGCUAAUUCUGCCAUAUUCUUAUGAUCAAAAACUUAUCUCCAAAUAGGAGAUGUUAAUUUCUCAGAUUUACAUAGCAUGUAGUUUAUGAUCAUUUAAUGACAAAAAGAAAGCAAUAAUUGUUCCUUAAAUGGCAUAAUUGACACCUUUUGCAGCAUUUCUAACAUUUUCCCUAAAUAUCAAAGUCUUUAAUCUUAAUUAUUCAAAAGGUAGCAUGUGUCUGUAAAAUAGGAAAAUUAUGCAACAGUUUGCUCAUAACCACAAUAUAGUAAGAAGGAUCUUCAGAUUUGCAUUACAAAGCAGAAAGAGCAAGAAAGAGAGAGAGAAAGAGAGAGAGAGAGAGAGAGAGAGAGAGAGAGAGAGAGAGAGAGAGAGAGAGAGAGAAGAGAGAGGCAGAAGAAAGAGCAUGCCUGGAAUUGCUAGCAUUUCUCUGUGUCCAGGAAUAAUGCAUAGCUGGAGCAUUAUAAAUAAACUAUACUGACAGGUGAUGUCAGUGAAGGGGAAACUAUACCUGGCACUGAAACCUGUGUCUGAGUGUUAGUGACUCAGAAACUGCUGUACAGUAGGACUAUCUUGGGUGCUUUUAGCCAGUGACUAGAGAAGAACCAUAAGCAGAAGUAUGUUUUAAUCUCAAGGUGAUUUGACAGAAAAACCAUGCAUUUAUGAAGUGACAUCCUAGUCUAGAUGAGUAGGUGCCAACUCUGUUCAUCUGAGCAACAUGUUGGAAGUUACAGGCUAACAGCAGUAAUGAAGGAAGGAAGGAAGGAAGGAAGGAAGGAAGGAAGGAAGGAAGGAAGGAAGGAAGGAAGGAAGGAAAAGGAAAAGGAAAAGGAAAAGGAAAAGGAAAAGGAAAAGGAAAAGGAAAAGGAAAAGGAAAAGAAAAAGAAAAAGAAAAAGAAAAGGAAAAAGGCAUCAUCUGUCUUAAACCAAAUGAACACAAAUAUUUGGUCCAGAAACUUGAACCAAUCUUUAAAAAGCACAUUUUUAAAAAAUCCUAAUAUGAUCUGAAUGUGAAAUCCAGAUUGAGAAGAAUAUAGUGGAUCUUAAGGUUAAUAAAACACUCUUAAACCAUUUAUGACAUUUAGACAAACAUACUUUCUUUGCAAAGCAGAAGACUAUGCCUUGCCAAAUACAAUAUGCCUUACAAAACAAAACUGUUCUCCUAUGGUGGAAAUUGAGCUUGUCUGGUCAGAUAAGUAAUAUACUAAGGUCAAAGAACAAGACUUUUCCAAAUAUUCCAUCAACAAGGGUGGUAUUUAUAGAACUCAGAAUAUCUUAAGUGUUGAAAAGAAAAUAUGUCUCAUAUUGGUUAAGGACAUAAAUCAUCCCAAAGUGUCUAGAUACUAAGUGAAAAUGUCUGAAAUUCACUUGGAGGGAAAUUCAUUUGAAAGAAAACAUUUUCCAGAGCCUUCAAACUUGACCCACUCUUUUAUCUUUGAAGAAUGUCAUGUUCCUGCAGAUGAAGUCUACAGUAUGUUCCGCCUAAAAGCUGUCAGUGACCCAGACAGCUAGUGCACCGUUUACAGUACCAGCUUUCCCAUUUGUUUUUUAAAGUCUAAUUUUUAAUCUAUGACCAUUCACUACCUCCCAAAUCCUUAACCCCGUUUUGUAGAGAAAACACUGCAAUAGUUUAAUGGUUUAGUUUCACGUCUCUUGUGCCUACCCAGAUUCACUUCUGUGAGACUACAGCCAUCCUUUAUUUAGAAAUAUUCUCAGUCUUUGUGUUACUUAGGUAAAAGUAAUUUCCUCAGGCUGUUUUUAUGUCGUGUUCUCUUGAAGGCUUAGGCACUACAGUGAAGAUGAACUACAGCCAUAUGAAGCAAGACAGAUGAUCACUAGGGGAACAGCUGCACUUUUAGACACAAUGGCCCCGAAGAAAAUUAAACAGACAGGGGUUUGGGGACGGGUAGGAGAAAAGGAAUUGGAGGGAUUGCAGGCAAGGAAUGCUUUAUUGAGGAAGUAGUUUCUGAGCCAAGAGCUGAAAGCCAAGAGAUAGAAGGUCACGGCAUACUAAGGCCCACAGGCCGCAGAAGAGAGGCUGCCAAUUCCAAGAGAUGCUCUCAAGGUGCCUCUGGUGAGUGCCAGUAGAGAGCUGCCAGCAGCAACCCAAAGGGACGAAUGAACCAGUGCCCUGUGAACCCUCCCACAGGUGAAAGUAACACUGCUCUCUCCCCCUAUUUAUCCUUUCUGUCUUAAAAUUCCACUUGACCCCUUGAGCUGUGUUCUGAGCAAACACUAAUGCAAUACAUUUUGCAGCAAUCAUGGCUUUUAUCUGGAUGGUUGCAAAGAGGAGGGAAGCCAUACUGUGGAGUCCUUCCACUACUGAGUAAAUGCACCCCUCUCUUUGAAGUGUGUAAUAAGUGAUUGUUUCAUAAUCUGUAGUACCUGAAAUACUUAGUGACAUAUCUCCUUAGCCAAACAAACCUUAAGGAAAAAUAGCAACGUGCAGUUUGAAGGAGAUUGGUUUGUUUAAACACAAGCCUGGAAACGGAGAGACAGCAUUUGAAACAGCAAAGAACUGGCUGCAGUCCAAAAGUCCAUGGGCACAAGAAAGGAGAUAUUGUAAGGAUGCAUUCAGAGAGUCUGAUAGAUGGAGCAGUUGGAAUGAGCUCCAGCUUGGAAAACGCAAGCCAAAGAAAAACCCUGUGUGUGAUUCUGACUAAGAAAAGCCAAACAGUAUCUUAUGUAGGAACUUAGAGAUCUGUGAUAAAAUAUAGGACCCUUACACACACACACACACACACACACACACACACACACACACACACACACACACACAAUUUCAGAAUAGAGAUUACGUGACUACAUGGAGAAGGAAGAAGGCAAGACUACAGAAGGCUCACCCAGAUGUCUCAGAAACUGGAAAGUUCCAUUCUUAGUUGGCAAUAGAAAGACAAAUAUUUGUUUCCAUGUUGUUCUUUAUGAGUGAUGCCUUAAAUAUUUUAAGUAAUAUUUUGCAUGUAUUCAACAUUAACAAUCAAAACAAGAUAUUAGACUCUUCUUUCAGCAAGAAUGCAGAUCUUGACACAAAUGACACUCUUGCUUAUGACUUGCACUGAAAUCCCUCUUUUAAAGUUUAUAGACAUCCUUCUUGUAUUUAUUCUUUCUUUUAAUGAACAGUGUCAAGAAAAGGAAAAAAUUCCCACUCUCUGAAAUGAAAGGGAAAAUCAGAGUCAAUUAUGAAUAAAAAUUAUUCAACCAGGAGAAACUCAUGUGUUUUUAUCCAUCUUUUUAGUUUUUAUUUCAAUUUCUUUUUCUUUUUCCUUUUUUUGGGGGGAGUGGCGGGGGGGGGAGGCAGGGUCCUACUAUGUAGCUCUAGCUGUCCUAGAACCUACUAUGUAGACCAGACUGGCCUUGAUCUCAUGGAGAACCUCCUGCCUCUGCCUCCUAAGUGUUGGUAUCAAAAGCAAGUACCACCACAACCAGCUGUAUAUUCAUCUUUGACAGAGUAAACUACGGUGUCCUUAGCUAAUUCACAUGUAACAUAGCAUAGAGUCUUCGAGGAAUACUGCAGUUCCAUUCAUUUAGAACAGUGUGUUUACAGGAAACUGAAGUCUAAUUUUCUUAAGCAUCAUAGGCAAGUACUUCCAAAAAUAAUAAAAGAAUAAUAAAACCAUUACAUAUCCAUGCAAAUCAAAAUUCACAGAACAGUGGCAGGCAGCCAACCCAACUAUUUCAGGUCUGCUGUCCCAUCUGCUUGGCCUGUUAACUGUCGGGAAAUACAAGCAAAUCAUUUCUUCUGCAACUAAUUCACAACAGGAUUCCUAAAAACCAGACUCCAUGAUGCAACUUUAAUAAGACGAAACAGCUUAUUAUGAUCAAUAAAGCAAAGCCUCGCAGCAGUUGAGAGGUGAAUGCUGGCUCAAAGGCUCUUCAGUAGACUUGAGGCACAUGUACCAGCAUCCUUGCCUGGCUCUGUGGAAGGUCCACAGCCAGGACACCCUCAGACAUCAGGGAGCAACUCUCUCUGCCUUGAUUCCUCUCUGCACAUGAACCCAAAGGCAGUCUCUUUCUGCUAGUCUUUAUUAGCCCCAAUAUGUGGCAAUUAACUUACUGCAGGCUCUUAAUUCAUAAAUGGAUCAAAUAAAGCUUUCCAUGGCUUUUGGCAGCCACCCCUUACUAAAUUAUGGUGACUAGAAGUUAGUUCAAAUGCUGCUUAUAUCUCAUCCCCUUCAGCCUGUAAAGUUCAGUUAGGGAGUUCUUAGCUUAUUGUGUCUGUAUUAAGCCUUCCAAGAAGGAAUUAUUCAUGUGUUUUCCAUCGGAGGGUGGGAAGGGAAGAUGGCAGUGAAGCAAUCUCUAGAAUGUUGAUCCAGCUAUUACCUUUUUUUUUUUUUUUUUUUUUUUUUUUUUUUUAGGA
Molecule: long non-coding RNA, 11196 nt
Organism: Mus musculus (house mouse)
Lineage: Eukaryota; Metazoa; Chordata; Mammalia; Rodentia; Muridae
Product: predicted gene, 54030
Exons: 2
Source: RefSeq, a predicted model, not a curated record